GAAAACAUCCAAAUCUGUGUAGGAGAAGGGAUGUUUGGCUAAGUCAAAUGUCGCUUCCAUCCAAAAUGACUACUGCCCAUCCAUCCACAGAGAAUCCAUCCAUGCACGAGGCCGAACGCCUCCUGUCUCUGAGCCUGAGCAUCUCGGCCUCCGGUGCUUUUGUUUGGAUUUUGUUCCAAAUGUCCCCAUGAUCUCGUCCCCCACUCCCAACAGUUCGCCACGAUGCAUGCUCGCUUCACACCGCUAAUCGGACCACAACUACACGGGAGGAUAAGAGGAGCAGUGGAUGCUUCGUCGGUAAGCGCAUCACCAAGCAUUGAAAAGAUUCACAUCCAGAAGCUGUGUUCCAAGGCUCCAUGUAGCUCUCACCGCUCCGAACAAGGAGAAGGAGCCAAGCCUGUAUAUGCAUGCGGGUGACCUGUGGGGUUGGGACAAGGGAAGGUGGUGGGGGGUGGUGGGGACAUUUGGAUGCUUAGGUGAGGUGAGAGAUAGGUCCGAAGGGGAGGGAUAAAGGGCAACAGGGAUGGGCUCGGAGUAGGACAGUCCAGGGUGUAGAGCACUGCCGUGUGAUGCACUGCGCUCGGCGCCUUUGAACUAUUCUUCGGCUUAGGAUAAGAGCAUCAAAGUAGGUGACCGGUCCAAGGAAGAGACGGGUGCGACUUAAUCGCUUGAGCUCUUGCCCGCUCACAUUCUGAGACCACACAUGAUGCUUUCGGAGCGAGAGCUCAAUCAUUCUGCAAUCCGGAACGCCAUGCGUGGUGUUCGUGUUCUGUGCGGAUCGCGCAUAAAGCGUUUGCGGUAAUUAAUGGCGUGCUCGCAACAUGUCGAACAGAUUCCCGAUCGCCCGAUGCGGUGUCAGCAGCGGAUGCAAAGCGUCGCGGCGUGCCGGAGAAAGUGGCGAACAUGGGGUGAGAUAGUGCUGGGGACCGUAGCAAGAAGAAGAAGAAGAAGAAGAAGAAGAAGAAGAAGAAGAGCUCUCGAGCAGUAGCGGGAAGAGUUGCUGUUAUUAGCAUCGAUAUCGGCGGACGGAGGCAGCAAAAGAUGGUAGUGUUUGUUCGGUGAGGUUUGCUCAAUUUGAGUGCCAACUUUAGAGGGAUUUCUUUUCAGAGUCCCAUGUGAACAGCACCAUGGAUUUUGACAUGGAAUGUGAUGUUUUCUUCAUGUUUACUCUUCAUGCUCUC
Long non-coding RNA from Musa acuminata AAA Group (dessert banana), 1181 nucleotides. RefSeq lists it as uncharacterized. NCBI's taxonomy places the organism in Eukaryota, Viridiplantae, Streptophyta, Magnoliopsida, Zingiberales, Musaceae. The record is from RefSeq and is a predicted model, not a curated record. The transcript is spliced from 2 exons.